This is a long non-coding RNA of Ziziphus jujuba (common jujube), 4995 nucleotides long. RefSeq lists it as uncharacterized. The transcript has 3 exons. The record is from RefSeq and is a predicted model, not a curated record. NCBI's taxonomy places the organism in Eukaryota, Viridiplantae, Streptophyta, Magnoliopsida, Rosales, Rhamnaceae.
AUAUAUUUAUUUCUUAAAAUAAAUAACAAAUAAAAAAUAAAAAAAUAUUUAGUAAGCAAAAGAAAAUAAAUUUUAGCAAUUGAAUUUUUAUAUAAGGUUUAAUUAGGAUAUAUUGGAUAUUAUAUUAAUACAACCAAGAAAAAAUGGUAACUAAUGAAGGUUUUUAGAAGUAAUAAAAUGGUCAUUGGGCUUGUUUAGAGAUUUGAAAAUGUGGGUUUAUCUGACGGCUUGUUUGACAUAACUUUUGCUCUUUUUUUCGCUUCUUUAGAAAUGCUUCUUAAAGAAGCUACUCUUUCACUAUCUUUGGUUCAAAGUGCUUCUGAAUGUUUUAAAUACUUUUUAACAAUUGUCAAAACACUUUUAGAAGCAGCUUUUAAGUUUUAAAAGUUUUUGACUUUUUAGAAACUAACAAGGCAUUUAAAUUGUUAGAUCACAUUCUCUAGUAGAAGUUACAGCUAUUAAGAAGUGGACCCAAUAAUAAAUAUUGAGCUUAGUUUCUAAUACACCCCUUCACAUAUAGUCUACUAAUGCGGAGGAAAGAAACUAAGCCAUACAUAUACCAAUCAACUUAAACAAAAAUUCGACACAAUACAAUCUUAGACUUUGUUAUCAAGUUAAAUUGCUAUUAUCCCCAAAGCUACAACUAGCACAAAGCAAGCUCAACAAUGUAUUUGAAGAUUAUUUUUCAGUAUAGAUUUAUAUUUUUCAAUAUAGAUUUAUGUUAGGCAGUUUUUGGUUUUUAUCUCUGAUUGUGAAAAAUCUUUAAUACAUUGAAUAGUUAAAUAAGCAUCAAUGACGUUUUCUACUGAAUUUUGGAAUGCAUGAGGAUUUGAUUAUAAUUUGAGAAAGCAUAAGCAAAACUCAUAAUUUGGCAUCCUGCUGUUAUCUAUACAAGUUUAUCUAUCAAAGGCAGAGGAAAGCUAUCUUUCAGAUUCAAGAAUAAGGAGAGUGGAUGGCUCUUUAAGAAUUAAUGAGGAGGAGUUUGUGGGAUUCAAGGGUGAUUCUCGAGCUACAGGAAAUGAAGGUGAGUACACAGAAAAGAUCGCGGUCUUGGAGCAAUUACAGUGGAUAAUGCUCAUUUUGACCAUAUAGAUCAAAGGAUGGACAGGUCAAAACUUCACCAGGUGGACCGAAUUUGAGGCAAGAAUUUCUUGGAGGCCAAGGUUUAAGUCGAGGAGGUCGCGGACAUUAUAGAGAGGAUUUUGAAGGAGGUAAUUAUGGAGAUAACUUAGAGGAGGAAUUUGAAGACAUCUAUGCUCUCCAAGGAAGGAAAAACCGUGGCAGACCAGCAAGGGAAAAUGAUGAUGAUCUUGGAAAUAUUAAGGUCAAUAUAGCACCUUUCAUGGGAAAAAGUGAUCUGGAUGCCUACUUAGAGUGGAAGGAGCAUAUGGAGAUGAUCUUUGAUUGUCACAACUAUUCAGAGGCUAAGAAAGUUAAAUUGGCAGCUUUGGAAUUUGGUCAUUAUGCACACCAAUGGUGGACAAAUGAGCAAAGUAUCUAAAGAAGAGUUGGAGAUGAACCAAUCACUACUUGGCAACAAAUGAAAGGAGCCAUGAGAAAGAGGUUUGUACCGAGUCAUUACCAUAGGUUGCUGCAUCAAAGACUCCAAUCAUUAUCACAAGGUAGUAGGCCCGUGAAGGAUUAUUACAAGGAGAUGGAGAUGCUUAUGAUGAUAUUGAGCAUGAAUGAAGAUAGAGAAGCAACAAUGGCACGGUUUCUAGGUGGGUUGAAUCGUGAGAUAGCCAAUCAAUUGGAGUUGCAAUAAUAUGUGGAAUUGGAAGAGAUGUUGCAUGUGGCUAUUAAACUUGAGAAUCAAUUCAAGAGGAGGGGUACAAGCUCACGGUUUGGAGGAGUAUCAAACAGUAGAAGGUCAAAUCCAAGUGUUUGGAGAAGCAAUCCCACAUAUGACAAAAAGCCUAAACUAAAGCUAGGUGAUGGAAGUACCAAUCGGCCAAAAAGGAAGGCUAAAACCAAAUCUGUCCAAGUACCAAGGAAUGAAGGUAAAUCAAAUCCUAAACCUUCUAGAACUUGUGAUAUUAUGUGUUGUCAAUGCCCAAAUAGGAGAAUCAUGGUACUGAAAGGUAAUGGUGAGUUAGAAUCCGAAAGUGAAGAUAGUGGAGAUGGAACCGAGCAAGAAGAGGAAGAACUAGAAGAUGAAGCCAAGACCUUAAAUGCUGCAAAUACUGAAUUGAGCUUGGUGAGUAGGAGAGUCUUGACUGUGUACAAAUAUGAGGAUCAAUUAUAAAGAGAGAACAUCUUCCACACUCGAUGUGAAAUCCAAGGUCAGGUUUGUAGUAUGAUAAUUGAUAGUGGAAGUUGUGCUAAUGUAAUUAGUAAUGUGGUAGUUGAUGAAUUAAGCUUAGUAACAAUUAAACAUCCAAAACCAUAUAGAUUACAAUGGCUUAAUGAUAGUGCUGAAAUGAAAGUAAACAAACAAGGCAAAGUAAAAUUCAGCAUUGAUAAAUAUGUGGAUAUUGUAUUGUGUGAUAUUGUGCCUAUGCAUGCCAGACAUAUUUUAUUAUGUACACCAUGUCAAUUUGAAAAAGAUAUUAUAUAUUAUGGUCGAAAGAAUGCAAUUGUUUUUAGAUUUAAAGGUAAAAAGGUCAAGCUAAAACCAUUGACUCUCAAAGAGGUAUUUAGGACCAACUUCAAAUACAACAAAAGAGGGAGGCCGAAAAGCUGAAGGAGAGGUUAAGUAUGGCACCCACGACUUCACCAUCUAUCUAAGGGGUCAAGGCCAAGCAUGACCAACCAGGUAAGUUUUCUAAACUCAAUGGUGAGGGGAAAAACAAAGACAAAGCCAAAAGUGAGCAAAAUUCAAGAAAAGCCGAGAGUGAGAUUAAAUUCAAGGAAUCCAUGAGAGAAAAAGAAAAAGAAGCAAAGAGAAGAAAAAUAAAAUUUUUUAUCUUAGUUUUAGGGAAAUUAAAAAGGAAUUUUUGAGUGAUAAGCCCUUGCUGAUCAUGAUUUAUAAAGAUGUAUAUUUAAAUGAUCAAGCUAACCCUGAAGAACUUGAAUUGCCAAGUUUUAUCUUUUUUUUUUUUUAUAAGAUUUUGAAGAUGUCUUUCCGGAGGAAAUUCCUAAUGGUUUACCAUUUAUUCGAGGGAUUAAACAUCAAAUUAGUUUUAUGCCGGAAGCUGCGAUUCCUAAUAGGCCUGCAUAUAGGAGUAAUUUCGAUGAGACAAAGGAGCUAUAAAGGUAGGUAAGUGAGCUACUUGACAAAGGUUAUAUUUGUGAGCAUGAGUUCGUGUGCUGAUCCUAUUUUGUUAGUACCUAAGAAACAUGGUUCAUGGUGCAUAUGUGUAGAUUGUAGGGCUAUUAAUAACAUAACCAUUAAAAUAUAGGCAUCCAAUUCUUAGGUUAGAUGAUAUGUUAGAUGAGUUACAUGGUGCAUGCAUGUUUACUAAAAUUGACCUUAGGAGUGAGUAUCAUCAAAUUAGGAUGAAAGAGGGUGAUGAAUGGAAAACCACAUUUAAAAUUGAAUAUAGUUUGUAUGAGUGGUUAGUAAUGCCAUUUGGUCUAACUAAUGCAUCUAGCACUUUCAUGAGAUUAAUGAACGAUGUUAUGCGCCCAUUCAAUAGAAAAUUUAUGGUUGUUUAUUUUGAUGAUAUUCUUGUAUAUAGUAGCCAUUUAGAUAAGCAUGUAGAACAUCUUAGGUUAGUUUUAGGAUUAAUUAGGAAAGAAAGAUUGUAUGCUAACUUCAAAAAGUGUGAUUUUUACCAAGAUAAGAUUGUAUUUAUAGGAUUUUUUGUGAUAGUGUUUGACCUAAGAGAUUUGGUUUGAUUGCAUCUAAGAAAGGAGAGGUUUCCAAAACAAUGAAGGUCAAAGCUUAUUCCACAAUAGGAUGGUCUUUUUCAAGUUUUGGAAAGGAUUAAUGAGAAUGCUUACCAACUUGACUUACCAGGUGAUAAUUUUGAUUUGAGGUCAAAUCCUUUUUAAGAGGAGGGGAAUGAUGAGAACCCACCCGUACCCAUUCAACCGACAACCCGCUGGGGUGCAGAUCUUAUAUAGUUGAAGACCGGGCCAAUCACUAGGGCUCAAGCCAAAAAAUUUAAGGACAACCUAUUUAAUUAUAUAAGGAUUUAUCAAUUCUCAAAAGGACUUGUCAAUACCUGAAGAUUCAAAGCCUGUUUUAAGCAUCUAAGUGAUGGAGGCCGAUAUGGACCCCGUUAGCUAUUGUCGUGCAUUUAUGGACUCCGGGCAAGAAGGAAUGGGUUUAACAUUUCUUGAAUUCAAUUGAUAUCAUUAAAAGGUCGUGGAAACAAGUUAAAGUAGAAGCAAAAGCAAUCAAACAGGACAUUUGCGUUUAGAAGGUGUUUUUGGCCGAAAUUGCUAUGUUUGUUGCUGGCUUUACUAUAUUUUGUUGGUUUGGUAAUUUCUCUUUGUUCCAAUCAAAGGCUACAUAUGGGAAUCAUAAUUAAUCCUAUUUGGCAUCCUACAUGGCACAUUGGAUCUGAUUUAGAGCCUUUACAAGAUGGAAAUUGGUCAAAGUUAGCUUACUAGUCAAGCUAGUCAACUAGUUUCCUAAUUUGAGUUUGACUUUUUGUUUUAUGAAACUAUAUUUUUUUUUGGUUUUAUUUAUUUAUUUUUUGGAAAAAUUACUUUAGGAAAGUUAUAAUUUUAUUAUUGUGAUUGUAACUUAGUUAAUUCCUUUUUCAAAAUUAAGGAAUUAAUUAAUACAAAUUAGAUUAGGAAAGGGCGUGAAAUUAGGUAAUUUCCUAAUUUGAUUCUAUGUUGGCUUAAAUUUCAUAAUCCUUUUAGGAUUUUAUUUUGUUCAUUCAAAGCGUAUUUAAAGACUUAUUUUCAAUGAGAAAUCAGCCUACAAUAUUAUUCAAAAAAUUAAUUGUGAGAUAGAAUUCUCUUAGUUCUCUUUGAACACCUAAAACACAAUUAGAGAGUGAGUGUUUUAGUUUUGACUUAUCAAUAGGGCUUCCAUAACCUAUUAUGGCGUCUUCAUUAUACCAAGAUUUCUAAUCACGGGUUGGUUAGGGGUUAAGG